Molecule: ribosomal RNA, 253 nt
Filed under: uncultured bacterium
Lineage: Bacteria
Description: partial 16S ribosomal RNA
Rfam family: Bacterial small subunit ribosomal RNA
Source: RNAcentral
UACAGAGGGCUCGAGCGUUAGGCGGAAUCACUGGGCUUAAAGCGUGUGUAGGCGGCUCGUUAAGUGCCUUGUGAAAUCCCACGGCUCAACCGUGGAAGUGCAUUCGAAACUGCAGGGCUAGAGUCCUGGAGAGGAAGGUGGAAUGCUUGGUGUAGAGGUGAAAUUCGUAGAUAUCAAGCGGAACACCGGUGGCGAAGGCGGCCUUCUGGACAGUGACUGACGCUGAGACGCGAAAGCGUGGGGAGCAAACAGG